Molecule: long non-coding RNA, 655 nt
Organism: Equus caballus (horse)
Lineage: Eukaryota; Metazoa; Chordata; Mammalia; Perissodactyla; Equidae
Source: RefSeq, a predicted model, not a curated record
CUCCUUGGGAUUCAGCACCCCAAGGUCAGCCUGACCCUAGAGGAAAAAUGAGCAAGGGACAAGCACUUCUAAGGACACAGGAGACAGGCUGCGCCCAUGACCACAAAGAUAAAUGGGCAUUGGGACAACCAUGUGAAGGACCAAGUUGCAACAUGAAGUCACGAAAUACCACAUGAACUGAAUCUUCAAGAACCCACUGGAUAUGGAUCACCCUGAUUCAACAACACAGUUAAUCAUAUCCUCAGGUCUACAGCAAAAGUAGUGGUUCUUAACCUGGGCUGCACAAAAGAAUCACCGGAGGAAGUUUUUGGGUUUUGUUUUUGUGCUUUAUAAUACCACUGUCUGGGCCCCAACAUCACAGAUUUGGAUUAAUUAGUAUAAGGUGGGGCCAGGCAUUCAGAUUUUAUAAAGCUCCCUAGGUGAUUCAAUGUGAGCCAGAGUGGAGCACCACUAUAUUAGCUGUAUACAAUGGAUUCAGGAAUUUUACCCCCCAACCCUUUAGGGCCACCAGAACUGCCAUCAUGUCUUUAUAUCCUAUGAAAACUUGUGCAAGUUACUGAUCCCUGAGAGUUAGUUUCCACAUCUCUAAAAUGGAGAUCAGAACACCUUUGAAGCAUGUGCUUUAGCACAGGGCCCAGAUCACCAUAUUUUCUAA